This 569-nucleotide long non-coding RNA is filed under the name Erythranthe guttata (spotted monkey flower). RNAcentral's name for it is "long non-coding RNA (EGUT_LNC000813)". The record is from RNAcentral. Lineage: Eukaryota; Viridiplantae; Streptophyta; Magnoliopsida; Lamiales; Phrymaceae.
AUUGAUAGGGGUGGAAAUCAGACGGAUCGGAUCGAAAACAGGCCUUUCGGAAAAUUUCCGAUUUUUUUCGGAACUCAAAUCUCAUUUCCGAUUCCGAUUCCGAAAAUUUCGGAAUAAAAAACUGAGUUCCGAUUCCGAUUUAUUCGGAAAUUUCGGAAUUUCGGAUUUUUUCGGAAUUCCAAAAUUUUCUUAAAAAUAAAAGGAAGAACAAGAAAAAUAAUCGAAAACACCAAAAACGAGCAACAAUCGACGAUAAAUCUCUCCACACAAUGCAAAACAUUCAAGAAUUUGUAUUCCCUUCAUAUCAAUGGACAUAUUCCACCAAAAUAAUUCCUAAAAUAACAGAAUAUUUGAGGUUUCAAAAAUAAAAAAAUGUUAUUAUUUGCAGAUCGAUGAGCCCGGCGAGUAGCUUACUGGCCAACACCCCUUUGACUUUUGGGUGCUCGGAGAAAUGAGUGUCGUCCUUUGCAAUGGAGUUGAAUAUUGGAGAAGAAGAGAAAACUGAAAAGAAACACAGCAGAAGCGGCGCAAUAAAGAAGAAAAGAGAUUAGGUUUUCUUUGAAUUAGGG